GCUGUAGUCAUUCUGUGAGGGGAACUCCAGGAGACUGGAUCCAACUUGCAAUCAGCUAUAGUGAAGUUAUGAUAUGAGAAGCACUGACUUGGCACAAGACUUGGGAAAGGCAAUGAGGCAGCAGGCAAGCUUUAAGGGGUGACACUUACCUUGAGGGAGCAAGGACAAGUUGUGACCUUCCCAGUCCUCUCUCCAUUUGCAAAUCAGCAAGCUUCUGUCAGCAAGGAGGGGUGGACAAAGAAACUGUUUGGGUUCAGCUUGAUUUGUUUUUUGAGACAGGUGUGGCAAGGGGCUGCCAUCAAAAAUUCCAGUUGCCCAUGAUGUCACAGGCUGAGGCCCACACUCCAGAGACACUGUGGACUGACUGGCACCUAUGAGCUGACCUAAUAACAGUCGCACCAUUACAGCUCCAAUUCUACAGAACAAUACAUACCCAGUUCUUA
RNAcentral lists this non-coding RNA (443 nucleotides) under Pongo abelii (Sumatran orangutan). Lineage: Eukaryota; Metazoa; Chordata; Mammalia; Primates; Hominidae. The record is from RNAcentral.